Molecule: ribosomal RNA, 539 nt
Filed under: Staphylococcus aureus
Lineage: Bacteria; Bacillati; Bacillota; Bacilli; Caryophanales; Staphylococcaceae
Description: partial 23S ribosomal RNA
Rfam family: Bacterial large subunit ribosomal RNA
Source: RNAcentral
AUGAGAAUUCUAAGGUGAGCGAGCGAACUCUCGUUAAGGAACUCGGCAAAAUGACCCCGUAACUUCGGGAGAAGGGGUGCUCUUUAGGGUUAACGCCCAGAAGAGCCGCAGUGAAUAGGCCCAAGCGACUGUUUAUCAAAAACACAGGUCUCUGCUAAACCGUAAGGUGAUGUAUAGGGGCUGACGCCUGCCCGGUGCUGGAAGGUUAAGAGGAGUGGUUAGCUUCUGCGAAGCUACGAAUCGAAGCCCCAGUAAACGGCGGCCGUAACUAUAACGGUCCUAAGGUAGCGAAAUUCCUUGUCGGGUAAGUUCCGACCCGCACGAAAGGCGUAACGAUUUGGGCACUGUCUCAACGAGAGACUCGGUGAAAUCAUAGUACCUGUGAAGAUGCAGGUUACCCGCGACAGGACGGAAAGACCCCGUGGAGCUUUACUGUAGCCUGAUAUUGAAAUUCGGCACAGCUUGUACAGGAUAGGUAGGAGCCUUUGAAACGUGAGCGCUAGCUUACGUGGAGGCGCUGGUGGGAUACUACCCUAGCU